UAUGAGUGCCAGCCGCCGCGGUAAUACAUAGGUGGCAAGCGUUAUCCGGAUUUAUUGGGCGUAAAGCGUGCGUAGACGGUUUUGCAAGUCUGAGGUUAAAUUUAGGGGCUCAACCCCUAACCGCCUUGGAAACUACAUUACUAGAGUAUAGGAGAGGUUAGUGGAAUUUCAUGUGUAGCGGUGGAAUGCGUAGAUAUAUGAAGGAACACCAGUGGCGAAGGCGGCUAACUGGCCUAUUACUGACGUUGUGGCACGAAAGCGUGGGGAGCAAAUAGGAUUAGAUACCCUAGUAGUCCACGCCGUAAACGAUGAGUACUAAGUGUUGCCAUGAGGCAGUGCUGUAGCUAACGCAUUAAGUGCUCCGCCUGAGUAGUAUGCUCGCAAGAGUG
RNAcentral lists this ribosomal RNA (389 nucleotides) under uncultured bacterium. Its description in RNAcentral is "bacterial SSU rRNA". It matches the Rfam family "Bacterial small subunit ribosomal RNA", at positions 502 to 896 of the family's 1533-position model. The record is from RNAcentral.